UUCCGCCCCGCCCUCUCCUCUCGUGUCUCUCGAAUCUUCCCUUUCCCGCUCGUCUCCUCCUUGCCUCCAUGGAAACCCUAAUCCGUUGUCCAGUCCAUGAUAUAUCCGGCGUCCUCUACAUCUGAAACCCCGUUCUAGUCUUCCUCGGGCACUCAUACCUUGGCAUGACGGCUAAAGAACCCGAUCUUCGACAUGGUUAAUUUCUUGUUGCAGCACUAUUGUUUAUGCCUAAUGCCCCUUUGUGCUUGAAUCCAUGAAUACAUUGGACCUGGCUAUUUUGGUGGAAACUUCCCGACUUGGCACAUUGGUUCCUUAUUUUAGGGUGACAUGACCCCAUGCCGGUGCCUUCCAAAUGUCUUAGCCUUGACACCUUGUCUGUGCUAACCUUUUUAAUGGAGCAUUCAACCAAGAACAGGUACCUAGUCUCGCAUUAUCCCCAUAUUAUGAACUAACAAAUUAGUAUCCAUCCCAACUAUUUGGGAGUAGGUUUUGUUGAUCAUGUUUGGUUUGAGGUGAUGUCUAUUUUAUAUCCCUUAUGUGAUCUCUCUAAUCUUCUAUCACUCUCCCAACUGUUUUAGAUCAUCAUUUGACAUGGUUAAUGUGAUCCAAAUUAUGUCAAGAAAGAGAAGUUGAUUGUGGGUAUAUUAUGGGUACAAUAUAGAUUUACUCUUAAAUGAAUAAUUUGAUAUUAUCUUAUAUUAUUGAGACCUUUA
Molecule: long non-coding RNA, 713 nt
Organism: Musa acuminata AAA Group (dessert banana)
Lineage: Eukaryota; Viridiplantae; Streptophyta; Magnoliopsida; Zingiberales; Musaceae
Exons: 3
Source: RefSeq, a predicted model, not a curated record